GACGAACGCUGGCGGCGUGCUUAACACAUGCAAGUCGAACGGAAAGGCCCUGCUUUUGUGGGGUGCUCGAGUGGCGAACGGGUGAGUAACACGUGAGUAACCUGCCCUUGACUUUGGGAUAACUUCAGGAAACUGGGGCUAAUACCGGAUAGGAGCUCCUGCUGCAUGGUGGGGGUUGGAAAGUUUCGGCGGUUGGGGAUGGACUCGCGGCUUAUCAGCUUGUUGGUGGGGUAGUGGCUUACCAAGGCUUUGACGGGUAGCCGGCCUGAGAGGGUGACCGGCCACAUUGGGACUGAGAUACGGCCCAGACUCCUACGGGAGGCAGCAGUGGGGAAUAUUGCACAAUGGGCGGAAGCCUGAUGCAGCAACGCCGCGUGCGGGAUGACGGCCUUCGGGUUGUAAACCGCUUUCGCCUGUGACGAAGCGUGAGUGACGGUAAUGGGUAAAGAAGCACCGGCUAACUACGUGCCAGCAGCCGCGGUGAUACGUAGGGUGCGAGCGUUGUCCGGAUUUAUUGGGCGUAAAGGGCUCGUAGGUGGUUGAUCGCGUCGGAAGUGUAAUCUUGGGGCUUAACCCUGAGCGUGCUUUCGAUACGGGUUGACUUGAGGAAGGUAGGGGAGAAUGGAAUUCCUGGUGGAGCGGUGGAAUGCGCAGAUAUCAGGAGGAACACCAGUGGCGAAGGCGGUUCUCUGGGCCUUUCCUGACGCUGAGGAGCAAAAGCGUGGGGAGCGAACAGGCUUAGAUACCCUGGUAGUCCACGCUGUAAACGGUGGGUACUAGGUGUGGGGUCCAUUCCACGGGUUCCGUGCCGUAGCUAACGCUUUAAGUACCCCGCCUGGGGAGUACGGCCGCAAGGCUAAAACUCAAAGGAAUUGACGGGGCCCCGCACAAGCGGCGGAGCAUGCGGAUUAAUUCGAUGCAACGCGUAGAACCUUACCUGGGUUUGACAUGGAUCGGGAGUGCUCAGAGAUGGGUGUGCCUCUUUUGGGGUCGGUUCACAGGUGGUGCAUGGCUGUCGUCAGCUCGUGUCGUGAGAUGUUGGGUUUAGUCCCGCAACGAGCGCAACCCUUGUUCACUGUUGCCAGCACGUUAUGGUGGGGACUCAGUGGAGACCGCCGGGGUCAACUCGGAGGAAGGUGGGGAUGACGUCAAGUCAUCAUGCCCCUUAUGUCCAGGGCUUCACGCAUGCUACAAUGGCUGGUACAGAGAGUGGCGAGCCUGUGAGGGUGAGCGAAUCUCGGAAAGCCGGUCUCAGUUCGGAUUGGGGUCUGCAACUCGACCUCAUGAAGUCGGAGUCGCUAGUAAUCGCAGAUCAGCAACGCUGCGGUGAAUACGUUCCCGGGGCU
This 1346-nucleotide ribosomal RNA is filed under the name uncultured bacterium. Its description in RNAcentral is "partial 16S ribosomal RNA". It matches the Rfam family "Bacterial small subunit ribosomal RNA", at positions 28 to 1381 of the family's 1533-position model. The record is from RNAcentral.